AGAGUUUGAUCCUGGCUCAAGACGAACGCUGGCGGCGUGCUUAACACAUGCAAGUCGAACGGGUCACGCGGAUAGCUUGCUAGCUGCAUGUUUAGUGGCGGACGGGUGAGUAACGCGUGAAUACCUGUCCAUCGGAGGGGGACAACGGCUGGAAACGGCCGCUAAUACCGCGUAAGCCGAUAGGUGAAAGGCUGCCUUAGGUAGCCGCCGAUAUGGGGGUUCGCGUCCUAUCACCUAGUUGGUGGGGUAAGGGCCUACCAAGGCGAAGACGGGUAGCCGGUCUGAGAGGGCGAUCGGCCACACUGUAACUGAGAUACGGUCCAUACUCCUACGGGAGGCAGCAGUGGGGAAUAUUGGGCAAUGGGGGAAACCCUGACCCAGCGACGCCGCGUGAGGGAAGAAGGUUUUCGGAUCGUAAACCUCUGUUGUACGGGAAGAAGGAAGUGACGGUACCGUACGAGGAACCCCCAGCAAACUACUUGCCAUCAGCCGCGGUAAUACGUAGGGGGCGAGCGUUGUCCGGAAUUACUGGGCGUAAAGGGUGCGCAGGCUGUUAUGCAAGUCUGCUGUGAAAUGCACGGGCUUAACCCGUGAGUUGCGGCGGAUACUGUAUGCCUGGAGUACUGGAGAGGAAAGUGGAAUUCCCGGUGUAGCGGUGAGAUGCGUACAUAUCUGGAGGAACACCGGUGGCGAAGGCGGCUUUCUGGCCAGUUACUGACGCUCAUGCACGAAAGCUGGGGUAGCAAACCGGAUUAUAUACCCGGGUAGUCCCAUCUGUAAACGAUGAAUGCUAGGUGUGGGUGUCGAGAGGCAUCCGUGCCGCAUCUAACGCGAUAAUCAUUCCGCCUGGGGAGUACGGUCGCAAGAUUGAAACUCAAAGGAAUUGACGGGGGCCCGCACAAGCGGUGGAGCACGUGGUUUAAUUCGAUGCAAACCG
RNAcentral lists this ribosomal RNA (937 nucleotides) under uncultured bacterium. Its description in RNAcentral is "bacterial SSU rRNA". It matches the Rfam family "Bacterial small subunit ribosomal RNA", at positions 8 to 963 of the family's 1533-position model. The record is from RNAcentral.